CCUACGGGGGGCAGCAGUGGGGAAUAUUGGACAAUGGGGGCAACCCUGAUCCAGCCAUGCCGCGUGUGUGAAGAAGGCCCUCGGGUUGUAAAGCACUUUCAGUGAGGAAGAACGCCUGGUGGUUAAUACCCAUCAGGAAAGACAUCACUCACAGAAGAAGCACCGGCUAACUCCGUGCCAGCAGCCGCGGUAAUACGGAGGGUGCGAGCGUUAAUCGGAAUUACUGGGCGUAAAGCGCGCGUAGGUGGCUUGAUAAGCCGGUUGUGAAAGCCCCGGGCUCAACCUGGGAACGGCAGCCGGAACUGUCAAGCUAGAGUGCAGGAGAGGAAGGUAGAAUUCCCGGUGGAGCGGUGAAAUGCGUAGAGAUCGGGAGGAAUACCAGUGGCGAAGGCGGCCUUCUGGACUGACACUGACACUGAGGUGCGAAAGCGUGGGUAGCAAACAGGAUUAGAUACCCUAGUAGUC
RNAcentral lists this ribosomal RNA (465 nucleotides) under Vreelandella stevensii. RNAcentral's name for it is "partial 16S ribosomal RNA". It matches the Rfam family "Bacterial small subunit ribosomal RNA", at positions 338 to 795 of the family's 1533-position model. Lineage: Bacteria; Pseudomonadati; Pseudomonadota; Gammaproteobacteria; Oceanospirillales; Halomonadaceae. The record is from RNAcentral.